Molecule: long non-coding RNA, 339 nt
Organism: Hemiscyllium ocellatum (epaulette shark)
Lineage: Eukaryota; Metazoa; Chordata; Chondrichthyes; Orectolobiformes; Hemiscylliidae
Exons: 3
Source: RefSeq, a predicted model, not a curated record
AAGCACGUUAAUUAUUAUCGACUCUGAACUGAACGAGUAAAGGAAGCAGGAGAGUUCCACAUACAGGAAUAUUCGUUACUGCCUCACCCGGAAACCCAGGGCAGGAGGAGAGACGGAUUCCACACAGACAUACAUGUUCCUACAUUAUCCCGAGUUUUACCCGCUCCUAACCAACUGGGAAGAAAGAGGGAUGUUGGAUCCAAGACAGCUCUUUGUUACUGUGCACGCAAUGAAGUGAAACCCUUGGAAGUUCAGGUGGAAGUGCAUGAUCUGUCGGAGUCACAUUAUCAAAGUCUCCUGUUUGACCGCUUGGUGACCUGGAGCAGCUCAGAAAGAACA